Molecule: non-coding RNA, 73 nt
Organism: Desmophyllum pertusum
Lineage: Eukaryota; Metazoa; Cnidaria; Anthozoa; Scleractinia; Caryophylliidae
Source: the annotation of a GenBank genome assembly
GACGCGGUGGCCUAAUGGUUAGCGCGUUGGACUCCGGAUCUAGUGGUCCGGGUUCGAGCGCUGUUCUGGGUCG